GUAUCGCAACAGGAAUCUAACUGUGACAGCCCUAGGAUUAAUAACAGACUUGAUCGACCAGGAUCCUAACAAUGGUGCGUUUGUCUAUGGAUUUAUGAGCCUCAUAGAGAAAGUUUUUAAUGGAGUCGUUGUUGCAGUCAUACAAUUCUGUAAACCAAAAGACAAAAUUGCUUACAGUGCCUACGGAAAGUACGUCAUCUUCAUAUGCUGUAUUAUGCCUUGUGCUCUCGGGAUUAUCUUCAUGUUCUUUACUCCCGUCAAUCUUGCUGCAUCUAAUCGAGAAAAUGAAAGGAUACCACCUCCCGAGAGUGAAAAGCAGACCGGCUCCUCGAAUCCAGAGAAUGACUUAAAUUCCCCAGAAGAUCGAAGAUGAUAGUCUAUCCAAACUAUUCAAACGACAAUUCAGUACCGGCCUCUGGCUCAGAGAAGAGUUUACCAAUUUACUUAUUUUUUGACUGCUGUUGUUUUUGACAGUAUUGUGCAUAUCUU
This 489-nucleotide long non-coding RNA is filed under the name Bemisia tabaci. RNAcentral describes it as "lncRNA ENSSSA3NGG002922". The record is from RNAcentral. Lineage: Eukaryota; Metazoa; Arthropoda; Insecta; Hemiptera; Aleyrodidae.